GAAAGCUAAGUUGGAUACAGCAUGCUGCUGGUAACGCCAAGGUUGCAGGUUCAGUUCCUGUAAGGAACA
Podarcis lilfordi (Lilford's wall lizard) is the source of this 69-nucleotide non-coding RNA. The record is from the annotation of a GenBank genome assembly. Lineage: Eukaryota; Metazoa; Chordata; Lepidosauria; Squamata; Lacertidae.